AUAAGAAGGCGGUGGGACCGACGCCAUCUCCCGACGACAGUCUAGCGGUUCCUUCGACGACCGUCGCUCCCUCCCGACGACGGCCUUUCUCUCUCCACUCGACGGCCUCAUCUCAGGGCUGCAUUCUCUCGGCGCACUUCUUCCUAAAUCGCGCUCUCUCCCGACGGCCGAUUUCGCUCGCCUCUCUCCGUCCCCCGACUCGCGACCGAGAAGCAAUCGCUCCGCCCUGCUCGAAGCAUUUCCUCGAGAAGCCUUAAAUCUGCGACCGCAAGUCAGCAACGCAAGAAGUGAAACUGCGACUGUCUCUCUCUACCCCUGUCCGGUUUUUCCGUUCUUGGCAAAUUCGAAGAUGAGCCCACUUCUGGAUACAUGAUCUUAGGCCGACCCGUCAAGUCGAAGCCCGACGUAAUCUCGCUGCUUCGCUCCACCGAGCUGUUGAUUCGCUUGUCUCCAGGGGGUUUCAAGAUUUUCCGGGGGCGCAAUCGCCUGUUCCGUCAUUGCAGACUUCCAGGCGAGAAGAAAUGUGCCCACAAUGAUCACCCCAACAACGAACCGCCUCCUUUGUCCUCUCUCGGUGCAUAAUUUUGCAAAAUGCAUGAUCAGCUUUAAAUCAUCGUUAUUUUUUCUCUCUGUUGAAAGCAAUCUUUGUUAUGGAUUGAUGAAGGCAUGAGUUGAAGAAAUCCUUGUUGUCCCAACUGCUCAACAGUGCUUCCAUGGAUGGCAAAAGCUCAUCUGAGUUGAGCCUUCCCUGGUUCUGGAUUAUUGAGUAUUCGGCAAAAUUCGAGCAAGUUAACCCAUCCCUCUUGCAUGGUAUCAUUAAAGCGGCUCCAGAGUUACCCGCUCACUUGGGAAAAAAUAUGGAAGAAGUUGUUUCUUUGAGAUGCUUGGAGGAGUUAUGUGGCCCUAGAAAUGGAAGCAUGAACAGUACUUGGUCCUCAUUGGGAUCAAAGGCGAAAAUUGAUACGUCAAAGAGCUGCAAAAAUGUCCUACAGUAAAUGUUCCAUAAUGGCUCUGCAUCUGAUCUUGAAGUGACUGCAAAUGAGUUGUUGAAAUGGGACCUUCACUCAUUUUUAACGCACAAGAGAACCUCUGUGCCAAAAACUGCUCUAGAGGAGCAAAACUAUAUCUUUUUAAAGGAGGAAGACAUACGACAACAUCAAGAGGAUGAUAUAAUGAGAGUUGCAGGCGUCCUAUCUAUACCUAGAGUUGCUGCUAUCACCCUGCUGCGCCAUUACAAUUGAUAAGGGGGUCCUUCGUUGGUGCUUUAGCUGUCGCGCCUGAUGUGCUAUAUGAUGUGGCUUUCUUGACAGUCAACCUGUAUAUGUAAUUUAUUUUUGGAAAAUUGCAUUUAUCUCCACGCUGCUGCUUUUAGUUGUGGUAAUUGAGUUGUCUAUAGAAAUGCUUGAUGUCGUGAUGUUUAGGUGGUGAGUUAAAAUUUAAGUUUCUGCCAUUCCUGCUAUGCUUUUUAAUAGAUUAAGUUGGCAUUGCAGGAGUGUAAGUAAAGUUCAUGAUGCACGGUUUGCUGAUGAAGAUAGAGUGUGAAAAGCAGUGGCCUUAUUGGAAAGACCGGUUGUUGAGCAUCCUAAUUUAAGAAAACUUACCUGUGGAAUCUGUUUUGAGUCCUAGAAUCCUGCAUAUCAUUUCAUAUCUGUUAGGAAAGCCGAGCAACAACCACAUAUUUGCACAUAAUGACAUUUCUGGACACUUGAAUCACUAUUUUAUUUAAGA
This is a long non-coding RNA of Eucalyptus grandis, 1728 nucleotides long. RefSeq lists it as uncharacterized. NCBI's taxonomy places the organism in Eukaryota, Viridiplantae, Streptophyta, Magnoliopsida, Myrtales, Myrtaceae. The transcript has 7 exons. The record is from RefSeq and is a predicted model, not a curated record.